Molecule: ribosomal RNA, 1356 nt
Filed under: uncultured bacterium
Lineage: Bacteria
Description: bacterial SSU rRNA
Rfam family: Bacterial small subunit ribosomal RNA
Source: RNAcentral
GACGAACGCUGGCGGCGUGCUUAACACAUGCAAGUCGAACGGAAAGCGCUCUUCGGAGUGACUCGAGUGGCGAACGGGUGAGUAACACGUGGGUGAUCUGCCCUGCACUUUGGGAUAAGCCUGGGAAACUGGGUCUAAUACCGAAUACACCUCUUGGAUCGCAUGGUUCUUGGGGGAAAGCUUUUGCGGUGUGGGAUGGGCCCGCGGCCUAUCAGCUUGUUGGUGGGGUGAUGGCCUACCAAGGCGACGACGGGUAGCCGGCCUGAGAGGGUGUCCGGCCACACUGGGACUGAGAUACGGCCCAGACUCCUACGGGAGGCAGCAGUGGGGAAUAUUGCACAAUGGGCGCAAGCCUGAUGCAGCGACGCCGCGUGGGGGAUGACGGCCUUCGGGUUGUAAACCCCUUUCAGCAUCGACGAAGCGCAAGUGACGGUAGAUGCAGAAGAAGCACCGGCCAACUACGUGCCAGCAGCCGCGGUAAUACGUAGGGUGCGAGCGUUGUCCGGAAUUACUGGGCGUAAAGAGCUCGUAGGUGGUUUGUCGCGUUGUUCGUGAAAACUCACAGCUUAACUGUGGGCGUGCGGGCGAUACGGGCAGACUGGAGUACUGCAGGGGAGACUGGAAUUCCUGGUGUAGCGGUGGAAUGCGCAGAUAUCAGGAGGAACACCGGUGGCGAAGGCGGGUCUCUGGGCAGUAACUGACGCUGAGGAGCGAAAGCGUGGGGAGCGAACAGGAUUAGAUACCCUGGUAGUCCACGCCGUAAACGGUGGGUACUAGGUGUGGGUUUCCUUUCCUUGGGAUCCGUGCCGUAGCUAACGCAUUAAGUACCCCGCCUGGGGAGUACGGCCGCAAGGCUAAAACUCAAAGGAAUUGACGGGGGCCCGCACAAGCGGCGGAGCAUGUGGAUUAAUUCGAUGCAACGCGAAGAACCUUACCUGGGUUUGACAUGCACAGGACGCGUCUAGAGAUAGGCGUUCCCUUGUGGCCUGUGUGCAGGUGGUGCAUGGCUGUCGUCAGCUCGUGUCGUGAGAUGUUGGGUUAAGUCCCGCAACGAGCGCAACCCUUGUCUCAUGUUGCCAGCACGUGAUGGUGGGGACUCGUGAGAGACUGCCGGGGUCAACUCGGAGGAAGGUGGGGAUGACGUCAAGUCAUCAUGCCCCUUAUGUCCAGGGCUUCACACAUGCUACAAUGGCCGGUACAAAGGGCUGCGAUGCCGUGAGGUGGAGCGAAUCCUUUCAAAGCCGGUCUCAGUUCGGAUCGGGGUCUGCAACUCGACCCCGUGAAGUCGGAGUCGCUAGUAAUCGCAGAUCAGCAACGCUGCGGUGAAUACGUUCCCGGGCCUUGUACACACCGCCC